AAGACGCUGCUCUCCUCCCCUGUACCCGUCAGUCAUGGAUUCGGGAACAGAUGGCUCGCUUCGGCCUCGGCGGCUCCUCUGUUUCGUCGUCAUCGCUCUGCUCUGCUCUCUAAGCCUCAUCCGUCCCGCCUCAGGUAUCAUCUUCUUGCCUUGUUUACUACGCAGCGAAGAGAAUACAUCGAUUCCAUCGCAUGGGACUGAACAGGGCUGAGCAGAGGCGGAGGAAGGCGGUCACUGGUCGUCUCUUUGGAGGACUACAGCGGGCCACGAGCCAAUCCCAGGCACCUGCCGAACCCCAAAACGAUCUCCAAACCCAAGCCCAAGCCCAAGCGAAGAAGGUAGCCUUUCAAGUGCACAUCAAGAAGUCGUUCGAUGCAUGAUGGAUUGGAUGAGUGAUGUCUUCCCCGGUGUUCAACUCAGGUGAAGGAUGAGCAACUUGUAAUGUUGAGGUGCAUAGAAUAACAUGGCCACAGUGCUUUUACCUAAUAGAAACUGUUGUUCUUGAAGAGAUGAGAGAUAAUGGAGUUUGUGACAAAC
This 537-nucleotide long non-coding RNA is filed under the name Musa acuminata (dwarf banana). RNAcentral describes it as "long non-coding RNA (MACU_LNC005002)". The record is from RNAcentral. Lineage: Eukaryota; Viridiplantae; Streptophyta; Magnoliopsida; Zingiberales; Musaceae.